This 1468-nucleotide ribosomal RNA is filed under the name uncultured Bordetella sp. RNAcentral describes it as "partial 16S-23S ribosomal RNA intergenic spacer". It matches the Rfam family "Bacterial small subunit ribosomal RNA". The record is from RNAcentral. Lineage: Bacteria; Pseudomonadati; Pseudomonadota; Betaproteobacteria; Burkholderiales; Alcaligenaceae.
GUUCGAUCAUAGCUCCGUUGAACGCCUGGCGGGAUGCUUUACACAUACCGUCGAACAUGUAGCACGGACUUCGGUCUGGUGGCAGUGGCGAACGGGUGAGCAAUGUCGGAACGUGCCUGGCGGGGGAUAACUGCAUGGCAGCAGCAGCUACCGCAUCACGCUAUCGAGGGAAAGCAGGGGACCUUCGGGCUCGCACUAUUAGAAGCGAUAUCGGAUUAGCUAGUUGGUGCGGUAACACGGCUCACCAAGGCGACGAUCCGUAGCGGCACUGGUUUGAGGAAAGGACGGCCAGCCACACUGGGACACGAGACGGCCCCGGGCUCACCGGGAGGCAGCGAGGCAGAAUUUUGGACAAUAAACCUGAUCCAGCCAUCCCGCGUGUGCGUUGACCUUCGGGUUGCUUAAACACUUUUGGCGGGAAAGAAACGGCACAGGAUGGCACGUGCAACUGACGUACCUGCAGACAAAGCACCGACAACUGCAUUGCCAGCAGCCGCGGUAAUACGCCGGUGCAAGCGUUAAUCGGAAUUACUGGGCGUAAAGCGCGUGCAUGAGCGGUUCAGAAGAAAAGAUGCUGAAAUCCCGAGCUUAACUUUGGAACUGCAUUUUUAACUACCGAGCUACUGGCGAGUCUGUCACGGAGGAGGUGCACGAUUCGCGUGUCGCGGUAAAUGCGUAGAUAUGGAGAGACACCGAUGGCGAAGGCGGCCUUCUGGGAUAACACUGACGCUCGCCUGCCUGGCAAUGAGGCAAACUAAGUUAGAUACCCUGAUAGUCCGCGCCUAAACGAUGUCAACUAACUAUUGGGGCCUUCAGGCCUUGGUAGCGCAAUAACGCUGAAGUUGACCGCCUGGGAGUAGGUCGCAAGAUUAAAACUCAAAGGAAUUGGCCAGGGACCCGCCACAAGCAGUGGAUGAUGUGGAUUAAUUCAAUCACAACGCGAAAAACCUUACCUACCCUUGACAUGUCUGGAAUCCCGAAGAGAUUUGGGAGCACUCGCAAGGAGCCGGAACACAGGUGCUGCAUGGCUGUCGUCAGCUCGUGUCGUGAGAUGUUGGGUUAAGUCCCGCAACAGGCAUGACCCUUGCCAUUGAAUUUGCUGAAAGGGCACUCAAUAGGACUGCCGGUGACAAACCGGAGGAAAGGUAGAGGAUGACGUCAAGUCCUCCUUGGCAUAUGGUGGGAGCUACGUCAUACAAUGGUCGAGUUAGAGGGUCGCCAGCCCGCGAGGAAGACCAAUCCCAGAAAGCCGAUCGUGGUCGGAUCGCAGUCUGCAACUCUGACUGCGUGAAGUCGGAAUCGCACAAACCAAUCUCGCGGAUCAGCAUGUCGCGGUGAAUACGUUCCCGGGUCUUGUACACCGCCCGUCACCAGCAUGGGAAUUGGGUUUUACCCAAGUAGUUAGCCUAUUCAGCAAGGAGGGCGAUUACCGGUAGGAUUCAUGGCUGGGUGGUCGUAUCAAAGGUGG